UGAGUAAAUGGCGAGAGUAACUAUGACUAUCUUAAGGUAGCCAUAUGCCUCAUCAUCUAAUUAGGACGCACAAGAAUGGAUCAUUAAUGAGAUUCCCCACUAUCCCUAGCUACUAUAUUCUAGAGAAAUCACAUCCAAGGGAAUGGGCUUGGAAAAAUUAGUGGGGAAAGAAGACUCUCAUGUUGAGCUUGACUCUAGUCCUAACCCAUUCAUAGUUUGGGAAAAUUAAUGCAUAGU
Molecule: non-coding RNA, 237 nt
Organism: Picea glauca (white spruce)
Lineage: Eukaryota; Viridiplantae; Streptophyta; Pinopsida; Pinales; Pinaceae
Source: Rfam